AUCUGAGCUGGGAGGGUCCCUCUCCAAAUGUGUCUUGGGGUGGGGGAUCAAGACACAUUUGGAGAGGGAACCUCCCAACUUGGCCUCUGCCUUCAUU
This 97-nucleotide microRNA precursor is filed under the name Colobus angolensis palliatus. RNAcentral describes it as "miRNA (ENSCANG00000011348.1)". The stretch from base 2 to 84 matches the Rfam family "mir-642 microRNA precursor family". Lineage: Eukaryota; Metazoa; Chordata; Mammalia; Primates; Cercopithecidae. The record is from RNAcentral.